Molecule: ribosomal RNA, 253 nt
Filed under: uncultured bacterium
Lineage: Bacteria
Description: partial 16S ribosomal RNA
Rfam family: Bacterial small subunit ribosomal RNA
Source: RNAcentral
UACAGAGGUGGCAAGCGUUGUUCGGAAUUACUGGGCGUAAAGGGCGCGUAGGCGGUCUUAUAAGUCUCGUGUGAAAUCCCUCGGCUUAACUGAGGAACUGCACGGGAUACUGCAAGACUUGAGAUCGGGAGAGGGAAGCGGAAUUCCGGGUGUAGCGGUGAAAUGCGUAGAUAUCCGGAGGAACACCGGUGGCGAAGGCGGCUUCCUGGACCGACACUGACGCUGAGGCGCGAAAGCGUGGGGAGCAAACAGG